Molecule: microRNA precursor, 59 nt
Filed under: Petromyzon marinus (sea lamprey)
Lineage: Eukaryota; Metazoa; Chordata; Hyperoartia; Petromyzontiformes; Petromyzontidae
Description: Pma-Mir-132-o2_pre stem-loop
Source: RNAcentral
CGUCGUGACGUGGGAUUGAUUACGUCAUCGCGCAGUAACAGUCUUACGUCAUGGCUGCG